GACGAACGCUGGCGGCGUGCUUAACACAUGCAAGUCGAACGGAAAGGCCCUGCUUUUGUGGGGCGCUCGAGUGGCGAACGGGUGAGUAACACGUGAGUAACCUGCCCUUGACUUUGGGAUAACUUCAGGAAACUGGGGCUAAUACCGGAUAGGAGCUCCUGCUGCAUGGUGGGGGUUGGAAAGUUUCGGCGGUUGGGGAUGGACUCGCGGCUUAUCAGCUUGUUGGUGGGGUAGUGGCUUACCAAGGCUUUGACGGGUAGCCGGCCUGAGCGGGUGACCGGCCCCAUUGGGACUGAGAUACGGCCCAGACUCCUACGGGAGGCAGCAGUGGGGAAUAUUGCACAAUGGGCGGAAGCCUGAUGCAGCAACGCCGCGUGCGGGAUGACGGCCUUCGGGUUGUAAACCGCUUUCGCCUGUGACGAAGCGUGAGUGACGGUAAUGGGUAAAGAAGCACCGGCUAACUACGUG
RNAcentral lists this ribosomal RNA (468 nucleotides) under uncultured bacterium. RNAcentral's name for it is "partial 16S ribosomal RNA". It matches the Rfam family "Bacterial small subunit ribosomal RNA", at positions 28 to 507 of the family's 1533-position model. The record is from RNAcentral.